CACCGAAGCUGGUGACCUGUCCCUGACUUUUACUAAAAAUAUUCAUGAUAAAAUGGGAAGGGGUGGUAACAAAGGGCUAACAACAGAUGGCUGCUGAACCUGGAUGUUCCUCUAUUCAAAUAGAAAUGCCCUAGACAAAAGGCUGGCUUCUACCAAAGGAAACUGGUUUAUCAGAGAAGAUACCACUUGGCAACAGUCACCUGGUAGGGAUCUGUGGGCAGCAGUUGAGGCUGAUCAGAAGAGACUGGAAAAUUAUAAAAUGACAGAAGCUACUGUAAUCUGGUUCUCUGGCCAUUUUUCACCAGCUCAAGAUGAGGAGAGCUACUGAAGGAGCCUGAUAAGGCUUUCCUGAGCACAAAUAGACCAUCAAGGACUCUGAAGGGAAAGGUACUUAUGGACUGCAAUUAAAUCAUCCCUUAACCGUC
This is a long non-coding RNA of Mauremys reevesii (Reeves's turtle), 425 nucleotides long. RefSeq lists it as uncharacterized. Lineage: Eukaryota; Metazoa; Chordata; Testudines; Geoemydidae. The record is from RefSeq and is a predicted model, not a curated record. The transcript is spliced from 3 exons.